GGAACAGAUACUUAUUGGCAAAAACACCUUAAAGUGGAAAUGAAGCAGUGAGAACUGUGACCAUUUUUUGGUUGCUUUUUCAUUUUUGAAGAUACAUGGA
This is a long non-coding RNA of Alosa sapidissima (American shad), 100 nucleotides long. RefSeq lists it as uncharacterized. The record is from RefSeq and is a predicted model, not a curated record. NCBI's taxonomy places the organism in Eukaryota, Metazoa, Chordata, Actinopteri, Clupeiformes, Clupeidae. The transcript has 4 exons.